Molecule: ribosomal RNA, 497 nt
Filed under: uncultured bacterium
Lineage: Bacteria
Description: partial 16S ribosomal RNA
Rfam family: Bacterial small subunit ribosomal RNA
Source: RNAcentral
GAUGAACGCUGGCGGCGUGCCUAAUACAUGCAAGUCGAGCGAACGGACGAGAAGCUUGCUUCUCUGAUGUUAGCGGCGGACGGGUGAGUAACACGUGGAUAACCUACCUAUAAGACUGGGAUAACUUCGGGAAACCGGAGCUAAUAGCGUAUAAUAUUUUGAACCGCAUGGUUGAAAAGUGAAAGACGGUCUUGCUGUCACUAAUAGAUGGAUCCGCGCUGCAUUGGCUAGUUGGUAAGGUAACGGCUUACAAAGGCAACGAUGCAUAGCCGACCUGGGAGGGGGGUCGGCCGCAUGGGAGCUGAGCCACGGUCCAGACUCCUCCGGUAGGCACCAGUAGCGAAUCUUCCGCAAUAGUCGAGAGCCUUACGGAGCAACGCCGCGUGAGUUAUGACGGCCUUCGGAUCGUAAAACUCUGUUUUUAGGUAUGAACCUAUGUGUAAGUUGCUGUGCACAUCUUGACGGUACCUAAUCAGAAAGCCACGGCUAACUACGUG